Molecule: long non-coding RNA, 1524 nt
Filed under: Lupinus angustifolius (narrow-leaved blue lupine)
Lineage: Eukaryota; Viridiplantae; Streptophyta; Magnoliopsida; Fabales; Fabaceae
Description: long non-coding RNA (LANG_LNC003211)
Source: RNAcentral
CCUUGGAAGGUUGAAAUCAGAUAUAGGUCCAGAUAUGGAAUUGUUUUGAAGAUACAACCAAGUGAGUCUUCUCAGGUUUUGAAGUGCAGGUGGGAUAAUACCAGAGAAAGAGUUGAAAGAAAUAUCCAAUGCAAUGAGUUUAGGUGAGACAGAAGAAGGAAUUAGACCUGAGAAGUUGUUGUGUUGCAAGUGUGCAACUUGGAGUGAAUGAAUGGAGAGGAUGUUAGAAGGAAUCUUUCCUCUAAGACCAUUGGAAUGAAGGCUCAAGACCCGGAGAGCAUCAAGUUUUCCUAUGCUGUUCUCUGGAAUGGAACCUGUCAAUCCAAUUCCUGGAAGAUGGAGGCCAAUGACACGAGUCCGAUUCGAGUUGCAAGUCACGCCAAUCCAUGUGGUGCAAAUUGAAAAAGAGUCAUUCCAGUUGAGCCUUGGGCCAUGUGGAAUAGUAGAAAGCUCGAAGCGGCAUGACAUUACUGUGGCAUCCAAUUCUCCCCACAAUCUCCAUCUGCUGCUCAAACUCCUUCUUUCCUACCAUAACUUCUUUCAACCUUUUAACCACCACCGUUGUCCCUUCCUCCAAAACAGCCUUAUAUGCCGUUCCAUAGCUCCCCUUUCCAAGAACUUCAGCCGAAGCCUUUAGCAAAUCCUCAAGGUCAAAGCUAUAAGAGCAUCCUUCAAAGAAAAACAACUUGUUCUUUUCAGCCUCUUGCACACCACUUCCAAAACUCUUUGAAACCUCAGUCUUCCCAGCACAAGAUGAGGCUUUUCCCUUCAGUAUGCUGCUGCCUUUUCUGUUUUUCCCCUUAAAACAGCACACUAUGAUCACUAAAACUAGUAGAGAGAUAAAGGCAAUGCCUCCAAUGACUAGAGCAAGUAUAGGAGCUAGGCCGAACUUUUUCUUAUGAGUGGUAGGUUCUUGAUUUUGGGUGGUUGAUGGAGAGAGUGGCUGGUAAUCCGGAGAAGGGGAGAUUAAAGAGCAAUGAUUGAGAGGUGGACCGCAUAAGAGAGAGUUCCCGACAAAAGAAGUAUAAGGGAAUGUCUUGAUGGAAAUUGGAAUUGAUCCAUUCAAGUUGUUAUAGCUCAAAUUCAAAUAUUUUAGCCUUGGAAGGUUGAAAUCAGAUAUAGGUCCAGAUAUGGAAUUGUUUUGAAGAUACAACCAAGUGAGUCUUCUCAGGUUUUGAAGUGCAGGUGGGAUAAUACCAGAGAAAGAGUUGAAAGAAAUAUCCAAUGCAAUGAGUUUAGGUGAGACAGAAGAAGGAAUUAGACCUGAGAAGUUGUUGUGUUGCAAGUGUGCAACUUGGAGUGAAUGAAUGGAGAGGAUGUUAGAAGGAAUCUUUCCUCUAAGACCAUUGGAAUGAAGGCUCAAGACCCGGAGAGCAUCAAGUUUUCCUAUGCUGUUCUCUGGAAUGGAACCUGUCAAUCCAAUUCCUGGAAGAUGGAGGCCAAUGACACGAGUCCGAUUCGAGUUGCAAGUCACGCCAAUCCAUGUGGUGCAAAUUGAAAAAGAGUCAUUCCAGUUGAGCCUUG